AACGAACGCUGGCGGCAUGCCUAACACAUGCAAGUCGAACGAGACCUUCGGGUCUAGUGGCGCACGGGUGCGUAACGCGUGGGAACCUGCCCUUAGGUUCGGAAUAACUCCCCGAAAGGGGUGCUAAUACCGGAUAAUGUCUUCGGACCAAAGAUUUAUCGCCUUUGGUUGGGCCCGCGUUGGAUUAGCUAGUUGGUAGGGUAAAAGCCUACCAAGGCGACGAUCCAUAGCUGGUCUGAGAGGAUGAUCAGCCACACUGGGACUGAGACACGGCCCAGACUCCUACGGGAGGCAGCAGUGGGGAAUAUUGGACAAUGGGCGAAAGCCUGAUCCAGCAAUGCCGCGUGAGUGAUGAAGGCCUUAGGGUUGUAAAGCUCUUUUACCCGGGAUGAUAAUGACGGUACCGGGAGAAUAAGCUCCGGCUAACUCCGUG
Molecule: ribosomal RNA, 433 nt
Filed under: uncultured bacterium
Lineage: Bacteria
Description: partial 16S ribosomal RNA
Rfam family: Bacterial small subunit ribosomal RNA
Source: RNAcentral